Xyrauchen texanus (razorback sucker) is the source of this 5504-nucleotide RNA transcript. It is a transcript of the gene named epithelial splicing regulatory protein 2-like, with no coding region annotated. The record is from RefSeq and is a predicted model, not a curated record. NCBI's taxonomy places the organism in Eukaryota, Metazoa, Chordata, Actinopteri, Cypriniformes, Catostomidae. The transcript has 16 exons.
GGCUUGUUAUGUGGUUCGCGUGAGACGAACCAGGACAUUUUUCUUUACCAGUCAAACCAGUAACUCUGGAUAGAGAAAACACACACAAGUACAGCAACAGGUUGAGUCUCCUGUCGCUCUUUUUCUCGUGUGCUUCUCCUGGAAUAAUCUUCUCUCCUUCCCCGUGUACUACAAUUGAGUUUCCUUUUCUUUUGUUUGCUUCUCUUGGAGAAAGGUGAACCCUCGUGUUACUGUUUUAUUUGAUCUUUGUUCUUAAUUGUAGUUUUUACCCUUGUGGUCCCUGAUGGCUUCGCACAGUGAUACUCUGGUGGUGUUCUUUGGGGCAACAGCUGGUGCAAAUGGGGGUAAACUGGGGUCGGAUGAAAGGGAAUUAAUUCUCUUGGUGUGGCAAAUUGUGGAUCUACAUGAGAAGAAGGUGGGCAAGCUUCAGCGGCGUCUAGUCAAGCCGGACAGUGUGGAUCUUACAGACCAGUGUGAGGAGGAGACCGGGCUCACGGCGGACGAACUGUGUAAGGCCGAGCCGCUGGACAGCGUCCUGCAGCAGUUUCAUCAGUCGGUGUCCGCUGAAUUGAAGUCUCUUGGCAGAAGCUCCUACUCGCUGUGUGUGGACGGACCACUGCUUAUCCGACAGGUGCUGCAUCCUGAGGCCUCCAAAAAGAAUCUGGUUUUGCCUGAGUGUUUCUACACAUUUGUGGAUUUGAAGAAAGAGUUUCACAAAUGCUGCCCCAAUGCAGGCCUUGUCAAAGAUCUCACUCUGCCCUCCAUGCUGGACUAUGUGUGUAUUCCAGCGGUGGUGGAUCAGGAGGCAGGAUUGAGGGAGGUGAACACCAUGGUUCUGCUGAUGCUGCAUCUCCUGGCUGAGCCUUACAAUCACAAAUUCUCCACUUUUGAGACCGUAAACUACAAAUUUGAAUCCGGAGCAUGCAGUAAGACAGAAGCUGUGGACAGCGAGACCAUCAUCAGAGCUCGUGGGUUGCCAUGGCAGUCGUCUGAUCAGGACAUCGCUCGCUUUUUCAAGGGCCUCAACAUUGCCAAAGGUGGUGUUGCGCUGUGUCUAAAUGCUCAGGGCCGGAGAAACGGGGAGGCUCUUGUGCGCUUCAUAAACUCCGAGCAAAGAGACAUGGCACUGGAUAGACAUAAACACCACAUGGGCAGCAGAUACAUAGAGGUAUAUAAAGCCACAGGGGAGGAAUUUCUGAAAAUUGCUGGAGGCACAUCCAAUGAGGUAGCUCAGUUUCUUUCAAAGGAAAACCAGGUGAUUAUCCGAAUGCGGGGUCUUCCAUUCACUGCUAGUCCUCAGGAUGUCCUGGGGUUCCUGGGUCCAGAGAGCCCUGUGACGGAUGGGACGGAAGGACUUUUAUUUUUGAAGUACCCUGAUGGACGUCCCACAGGCGACGCUUUUGUUCUCUUUGCCUGUGAGGACUAUGCGCAGAAUGCCCUAAAGAGGCACAAACAAAUCCUUGGCAAGAGAUACAUCGAGCUGUUCCGCAGCACUGCAGCUGAGGUCCAACAGGUGUUGAAUCGCUACAUGUCCGCUCCACUGAUCUCCACUCUACCACCUCCUCCCCCUCCGAUGGUUUCUUUGCCUGUUCUAUCCACGCCACCCUACAUUGCAUCUGGCAGCAUACGGGACUGCAUCAGGCUGAGAGGUCUGCCGUACACCGCUGCCAUCGAGGACAUUCUACAAUUUAUGAGCGAACACACCAUUGAUAUCAAACCACAUGGAGUGCACAUGGUCCUGAACCAGCAGGGUCGACCCUCCGGUGAUGCCUUCAUUCAGAUGAAGUCAGCUGACCGUGCGUUUAUGGUGGCACAGAAGUGCCAUAAGAAGAUGAUGAAGGAUCGUUAUGUGGAGGUGUUCCAGUGCUCCACUGAGGAAAUGAGCUUCGUGCUGAUGGGGGGAACUCUUAACCGCAGUGGCCUGUCACCGCCUCCCUGCAAACUGCCCUGUCUCUCUCCACCAACCUAUGCUUCAUUUCCGGCAACUGCAGCUAUGCUUCCCGCUGAAGCAGCGUUGUAUCAGCCCCCUCUGCUGGCCACUCCAAGAACUCCACAGCCACCAACACACAGCCAUGCACCUACUUUAGCCUACUACUCUCCAACGCCACAGCUUUACAUGAACAUGAACUACACUACCUACUACCCCAGUCCUCCAGUCUCGCCCUCCACCAUGAGUUAUUUUGCAGCCCCGCCCGGUUCACUAGCAGCUGCCAUGGCUGCCCAGACAGCCUCCGCCAUCCUGCCUCCUCAGCCUGGAGCUCUGGUACGAAUGCAGGGCCUGCCAUACAACGCCGGGGUGAAAGACAUCCUCAGCUUCUUUCAGGGAUAUCAGCUGACAUCUGAUUAGAUGGAGUCUUCAGAAGACGGUAUGGCACUUUCACUUGGAGAAGGAGGGAAGAGGGUUGUAAAUGAUAGAGGGAUGGUUAGAUGGAGAUGAAUGAUACUUUGUUGUGGGGAUUGGCCUUUGUGUGCUUUGUCUCUCACAAUAUGCAGUCAAGGAGGUUUUACAGUAAUUAUUGUUUAUUUUAUAUUAUUGUGGGGUAUGGUAAAUCUGUCUUUGGCAUGCAGUGUCCCUGCCCUCCCCUUUGAGGUGUGUGAAGCGUGUAACUGAGCUGUGUGCGUGUGGCGCUGUUCACGGAGCGUAGCACAGUGGCACGUGUGUGAGAAGCUGAUUCAGGUUUGACUUCUGGCUGAACUGAUGAAAUGGAUCCGAGGCCAAUCCACCCUCCAAGUGUGCUUUUAACCUCUGAGACAAAAUACACACUACAGGCCUCAGUGUGCGGGAAGUGUUUCUUUUUGGCUGGUGGUCUGCACCCUCCACCCCCUUUCUAUAUCUAUACUGCAUUCAUGCUUGCACAUCUUGUGUGCAACCCUGUACAAUUCAUACUUGUUUUUUCUUCCUGAUGUGCAAUGUAUUUUGUGUGUUGUGUGUUCUGUGUCAUUUAAAUAUAUAUGUUUGGGGACAUACAGUACAGGUAUGACCUCUUGUGGUAUUCCAAAAGGCAAUGAGCAUUAGAUCUGUGUAUAUUAAGCCUUUUAAAGAACCCCAAAUAAUAUAUGAUGGUGACAAUAGUCUUGUAACUCUAGUAACCGUCAGUAUGCACAAAAGCCCUUAAAGGAAUAUUCCGGGUUCAAUACUUGUUAAGCUCAAUCAACAGCAUUGGUGGUAUAAUGUUGACUUCCACAAAAAUGUAUUUCAAUUGGUAUCUCCUUUUUUAAUGUUUUUUUUUAUUAUAAAUUAAGGUUAUAGUGAAGCACUUACAAUGGAAGUGAAUGGGGCCAAUAUUUGGAGGGUUUAAAGGCAGAAACGUGAACCUUAUAAUUUUAUAAAAGCAUUUACAUUAAUUCUUCUGUUAAAACUUGUGUAUUAUUUUGAGCUGUAAUGUUUAAAUUGUCAUUUACUGGGAUUACAGGGCUUAUGGUGUUAUGUCGCCAUGGUGAAGUCAUACUAACACGCAUGUUGUUUGUCGUUGCAAGUAUUUUAACGUUUACGGAUUCCCCAUUCGCUUCCAUUGUAAGUGCCUCGAUGAAACCUUCCUUUAUACUUUUUUUAAAGAAAAAGAGGGGAAGUUUAAAUACAUUUUUGUGGUAAUUAACAUUAUGCCACGAAUGCUGUAAAUUGAGCUUAACUUGUAUUGAAACUGGAAUAUUCUAAGAUUCUUUAAAGUAUUCAAAUAAACACAAAGUAGAAAUUAGGGGUGUGAAUAUGAGCGCUGACAUUGAUUUGAUUAAAUUAUUAUUCUUCACUAAAUGUUAAGAUGCAUCAUGAAAAUGUUUACACUACUCCCUACUCGUCGGUAUGCUAAUAAUGUUUUUCAAUACAAUGCUGAUAUGAUCUGCUAGAACAGAACAUUUUUUUAAAAAAAUGGCAUUUUGCAAAUUGCAUUGGACAAGUGAAUGUAUAAUAAUAAAUGAUAAAUUCCUUAAAUGCAUUGCAUACAAACAAAUAAUUGAAUCUACUCCGUCAGAUUGAUGCAUCUUUACACCCCUAGCAUAAAAUGCAUAUACUACUCUGCCGUCACCUGUGUAUAUAUACAUGCAUGACCACCAUUGAAAGAUGUGAUGAAUGAGUGAAAAGUGAGGCAUGUAGCACUGACUGUGGCUCAUUGUGCUGUAGUACGCUCCUGAAGACUACAGCAGCUUGGUUGGAGUGAGUGAUCAGGGCCGGAGUCUCAUUCAGCCUAAAGAGUGGCUGUGUCUGUAGGGGGAGCUCCUGCAGAUUCAGGCGGACUCUGUGCUCGUGCUGUAUAAUUGGAGUGGUCAGCGUAGUGGGGAGGCUCUGGUGACCUUCCCCAGUGAGAAGACAGCGAGACUGGCUGUGGCUGAACGCUCCAACCUUCCCCUCUCCGGCCACCCCAUCCGCCUGGUCUGCUGCGAGUGACUAAACGGGGACCACCACACCCACUGAGGGAGGACAGCACUUCAACUAUCUCACCCAUUUCUCCCUCAGAACCCGUCUUGACAGUUUUUCCUCUGCACUUGACUCAAGGUUGUAGUUUAGGAGGGGAUCUGACACAGAAACGCGCACAAACAAAAACUAACAGCAAAUUUAACAAGUGACAGUGCCUUGCUGCUUGUGGACAUGCAAGUGUUUAUGAGAGAGAGAAAUAGAGAGAGCAAAUGCAUGAAAGAUAAACUCUGUUCCUACUUGUGUUUUGAUGUCAAGAACCCUUCUAUUCUAUUUCAGGCCUUGAAGUAAUAUAGUAACAUUGAAAGCCUGCAGUUUGUGCAACAAAAAUUAAGCAGAAAAUGUUCCUUUUGCAACACCACAGCAUCAUUCCUGAAACGUGACACCAGGUAGUCCUGUAAACUAAUGUUAGGCCAUAGCCUUUACCUUGCACUAGGGAACCAAAAAGUAAUGCAAUACUACUUAUUGCCAUUAUUAAAGAAAAAGAAAGACUUAUUCAACUACAACUUAAAGUACAGUGGGAUUUUAAGUAAGACUAAGACUAUUAUGUUUCAUGUAGGAUUAAAAAAACGGCAUGAUGGUUUUCCUUGACUUUGGACAAAAAUAGCCUUAACUUAAUCCUUAUUUAAUAAAGAUCAGACAAAGUGUGUACUCCGUAGACUUGAAUGAACUGAUUUUUAGUUUAAUCCAUUCAGAAAGGGACAUGUUUUUUAUUUAAAGUGAAAGAUGAGUUGUUUGUAUGAUCUGCAUGCUUUCAUGCUCGUUCUUUACAAAUUGAAUUGAAAGAGCUGUGUAUUCUGUUGCCCCCCACAUUAGAGAUUAUGUGCAGAAUAUGUACAACCAUGCCAUGGUCUUAUCUUGCUAUUGAUGCUAUCUACUUCAGUUCUUUUCUACUGAUAGCAGGUUGCUAAAAUCAUACUAGAGUUUUUUCUUUCAUGACUACAUUACCCAAAGUGCAAUACAGGCUGAACAAAAUGGCACACCUCCAUUGUGAAAGAGGGGGAUUUUUUUCUUUUGUUUUCUAAAACUUAUGAAUUUGUAUGUAUGUGAAUAUGUGACUGUUAUGCAACAAAUAAAUUGAUAUUGAUCUGAUAUA